RNAcentral lists this long non-coding RNA (675 nucleotides) under Homo sapiens (human). RNAcentral's name for it is "HSALNT0272006". The record is from RNAcentral. Lineage: Eukaryota; Metazoa; Chordata; Mammalia; Primates; Hominidae.
CAAAAAGAGAUUGUGAUCAAGAGGAAUGUUUAGUACAGCUGUGGUUAUUAUUAACUAUUGUAAACACUAAAAUUGGUUCUUGAAAGAGUUUUGGUGUGCAUAGUUUCAAAGUUUCUUAAGUAGUACUUGGUUACUGCAGAAAAUGAAAAUGAACAGAGACACAGAACUGAAGGGUCUUGCUAUGCCAUCUAGGCUGGAGUACAAUGGUGUGAUCAUGGCUCAUUACAGCCUCAACCUCCCAGACUCAAGCGAUCCUCCUGCCUCAGCCUCCCAAGUAGCUGGGACCACAAGCAAAUGCAGCCACACCUGGCUGAUUUUUGUAUUUUUUUUUUAUUAUUAUUACACUUUAAGUUUUAGGGUACAUGUGCACAAUGUGCAGGUUUGUUACAUAUGUAUACAUGUGCCAUGUUGGUGUGCUGCACCCAUUAACUUGUCAUUUAGCAUUAGGUAUAUCUCCAAAUGCUAUCCCUUGCCCCUCCCCCAGCCCCACAACAGUCCCCGGAGUGUGAUGUUCCCCUUCCUGUGUCCAUGUGUUCUCAUUGUUCAAUUCCCACCUAUGAGUGAGAACAUGAGGUGUUUGGUUUUUGUCCUUGGGAUAGUUUGCUGAGAAUGAUGAUUUCCAGUUUCAUCCAUGCCCUUAAAAAGGACAUGAACUCAUCCUUUUUUAUGGCUGCA